GAUGAAGACGUAGCGAAAUGCGAUACGUAAUGUGAAUUGCAAAUUCAGUGAAUCAUCGAGUCUUUGAACGCACAUUGCGCCCCCUGGUAUUCCGGGGGGCAUGCCUGUCCGAGCGUCAUUGCUGCCCUCAAGCACGGCUUGUGUGUUGGGCCCCGUCCUCCGAUCCCGGGGGACGGGCCCGAAAGGCAGCGGCGGCACCGCGUCCGGUCCUCGAGCAUAUGGGGCUUUGUCACCCGCUCUGUAGGCCCGGCCGGCGCUUGCCGAUCAACCCAAAUUUUUUAUCCAGGUUGACCUCGGAUCAGGUAGGGAUACCCGCUGAACUUAAGCAUAUCAAUAAGCGGAGGA
This 345-nucleotide unclassified non-coding RNA is filed under the name soil metagenome. Its description in RNAcentral is "partial contains 5.8S ribosomal RNA, internal transcribed spacer 2, and large subunit ribosomal RNA". The stretch from base 1 to 118 matches the Rfam family "5.8S ribosomal RNA", at positions 35 to 154 of the family's 154-position model. The record is from RNAcentral.